Non-coding RNA from Coffea arabica (coffee), 226 nucleotides. Lineage: Eukaryota; Viridiplantae; Streptophyta; Magnoliopsida; Gentianales; Rubiaceae. The record is from RefSeq and is a predicted model, not a curated record.
GUUGGAAAAGUUUCAACAAGUUUGCGCUGACGAAAGAAAAAUCUCAAAUCAAAUCCGAAGAACAAAAUCCAGGCUACACUGAUUAAAACGUCGUUCGCAUCAAAUUAAAAAUUCCGUAGUGGAAGAUAUUAUGUGCAGAGACUCCAGCAGAAAUCAACCUUCUUGCGGCCGGCUUAAUUUUCCAGAUCAAAGAAAUGAAAAAUCUAACUGUCCUCAAGAUCGCCAG